RNAcentral lists this ribosomal RNA (429 nucleotides) under Bacteroidota bacterium. RNAcentral describes it as "Bacteroidetes bacterium partial 16S ribosomal RNA". It matches the Rfam family "Bacterial small subunit ribosomal RNA", at positions 355 to 776 of the family's 1533-position model. Lineage: Bacteria; Pseudomonadati; Bacteroidota. The record is from RNAcentral.
UAGGGAAUCUUCGGCAAUGGGGGGAACCCUGACCGAGCAACGCCGCGUGAGUGAAGAAGGUUUUCGGAUCGUAAAGCUCUGUUGUUAAGGAAGAACGAGUGUGAGAAUGGAAAGUUCAUGCUGUGACGGUACUUAACCAGAAAGGGACGGCUAACUACGUGCCAGCAGCCGCGGUAAUACGUAGGUCCCGAGCGUUGUCCGGAUUUAUUGGGCGUAAAGCGAGCGCAGGCGGUUAGAAAAGUCUGAAGUGAAAGGCAGUGGCUCAACCAUUGUAGGCUUUGGAAACUGUUUAACUUGAGUGCAGAAGGGGAGAGUGGAAUUCCAGGUGUAGCGGUGAAAUGCGUAGAUAUAUGGGGGAACACCGGUGGCGAAAGCGGCUCUCUGGUCUGUAACUGACGCUGAGGCUCGAAAGCGUUGGGAGCGAACAGG